UGAGCUAUGACAGGAACGCCU
RNAcentral lists this microRNA (21 nucleotides) under Sus scrofa (pig). Its description in RNAcentral is "ssc-mir195". Lineage: Eukaryota; Metazoa; Chordata; Mammalia; Artiodactyla; Suidae. The record is from RNAcentral.